GAUUAUUGUUGAGUUCAGUACAGAUAAAUGCCAUGCUACUGAAAACUUAAAUAAGGACUGUAAAAUUACUUAGAGGUUUGAUAAUAGAAUUUUUAGAGGCUAACUUUGAUGGUUGCUAGUUUAAAUUAGAGAAGCACAUUUACAGGUAAUUGAUUGUGUUAACUGUUAUGUUGAUUCACUAACUGUGUCAAUAAGAACAAUUUUCUGCAGUCCAG
Molecule: long non-coding RNA, 215 nt
Filed under: Mytilus galloprovincialis (Mediterranean mussel)
Lineage: Eukaryota; Metazoa; Mollusca; Bivalvia; Mytilida; Mytilidae
Source: RNAcentral